AGCCAGACUGUUUUUCUUCCUUUCUUCCUUCUGUUGCAGCUCAGCACCAUAUGGGUAAAGAAUUGUUGUCCCCAGGCAGUAGGACAGAAGUGAGAUAGCCUGCGAAGACUCUACAAACCUGUCUGUGAAGGAGAAAGGGAGCCUUGUUAUUCCUGUUGGAAGAAGAAGCUUCAGCUGUGCACCUGGCUGAGAAAAAAAAGCCAACUGAUCCAAAUGGAAGUGAUGUCUGCAAGAGAACAAAGAUGUUUUAAUUUGUAUUGCAGCAGUAGGAAUCCGCCCUCCAUGUCCUGCCCAAAUUCUUUCUUCCAUCACCAUGGAUGGGAUAACUUUUGUCAUCCUCUUCCAAAGGUAUGUAUAACUGAGAUCCAAGGCACUUUGAGAUUAAAUGGCAGUAUGUGCAUAUAUUUUGUCUAUACACAUACAUCACACACACAUACAAGAAUCAAAGUAAUAGUAAUAGUAUUACAGUUUCCAUUGAAACUGUGGCAGAGGGAUUACAAUGUUCAUCUCAUCCCCUCCCUUUGUUUCAAUAUACUUUCAUUUCUGUUUCCGUUUUAUACAGUGAGGGACAGUCUGUGCACUGAUGAAUUAAGGCAGACAGUGAGGCUGUGGGAGGCAUGUGUCAGGAAGAGCACAUCGUCAUCUGUGUUACAGCCUCUGAGACCCCAGCUGAGGAACAGAUGCAUACAUGUUCUUAACCUUACCUCAAUGAUCUGUUUAAGCUUCACUGUGCAAAUUAUAUU
This 743-nucleotide long non-coding RNA is filed under the name Anser brachyrhynchus (Pink-footed goose). RNAcentral describes it as "lncRNA (ENSABRG00000017338.1)". The record is from RNAcentral. Lineage: Eukaryota; Metazoa; Chordata; Aves; Anseriformes; Anatidae.